RNAcentral lists this ribosomal RNA (305 nucleotides) under uncultured bacterium. Its description in RNAcentral is "bacterial SSU rRNA". It matches the Rfam family "Bacterial small subunit ribosomal RNA", at positions 336 to 638 of the family's 1533-position model. The record is from RNAcentral.
UUCCUACGGGGGGCAGCAGUGAGGAAUAUUGGUCAAUGGGAGAGAUCCUGAACCAGCCAAGCCGCGUGAGGGAAGACGGCCCUAUGGGUUGUAAACCUCUUUAGGCGGGGAGCAAUGCCGGGCACGUGUGCCCGGAGGGAGAGUACCCGCAGAAUAAGCAUCGGCUAACUCCGUGCCAGCAGCCGCGGUAAUACGGAGGAUGCGAGCGUUAUCCGGAUUUAUUGGGUUUAAAGGGUGCGUAGGCGGAUUUUUAAGUCGGCGGUAAAAUGUCCGGGCUCAACCCGGGCCGGCCGUUGAAACUGGGG